UGUGGGGGUCUUACACAGUGUGGGGAUCUCAGCCAAUGUGGGGGUCUCAGCCAAUGUGGGGUCUUACACAGCGUUGGGGUCUCAGCCAAUGUGGGGGUCUUUGCCAAUCCGGGUGUAUCAGCCAAUGAUGACCAUCGCAGAAACGUUUAAUUGAGCUGGGAUUAGGGGGUCACAUUUACCCUGCUAGUAAGGUCCUUGAAAUCCCCAAUAUUUAAACCAAUCCUGGGGUCUCAGCCAGUCCUGGUGUCUCAUCCAGUGUGGGGGUCUCAGGCAGUCCUGGUGUCUCAUCCAGUGUGGGGGUCUCAGGCAGUCCUGGUGUCUCAUCCAGUGUGGGGGUCUCAGCCAGUCCUGGUGUCUCAUCCAGUGUGGGGGUCUCAGCCAGUCCUGGUGUCUCAUCCAGUGUGGGGGUCUCAGCCAGUCCUGGUGUCUCAGCCAGUGAGGUCCAUGGCAGAAAGCUGGGCAAGUGGCUCUGGCUACCAGCUCCUGGAGGUGAGAAGUCAGAGAACCUCCUAAAGUACCGACCCCUGGACGGUGUGCUCAGCGCUCCCUAAAUUCUCUACUCUGAGAGCACUUUCAAACACACCUACACACAUGCCUACC
RNAcentral lists this long non-coding RNA (600 nucleotides) under Pelobates cultripes (western spadefoot toad). Lineage: Eukaryota; Metazoa; Chordata; Amphibia; Anura; Pelobatidae. The record is from RNAcentral.